Molecule: ribosomal RNA, 1434 nt
Filed under: metagenome
Description: SSU rRNA
Rfam family: Eukaryotic small subunit ribosomal RNA
Source: RNAcentral
GGUUCGAUUCCGGAGAAGGAGCUUGAGAAUUGGCUACUACAUCUAAGGAAGGCAGCAGGCGCGCAAAUUACCCAAUCCCGAUUCGGGGAGGUAGUGACAAAAAAUAACAAUACCGGGCCUUUUUGGGCUUGGUAAUUGGAAUGAGGGAGAGUUAAACGGACCAUCGAGUAUCCAUUGGAGGGCAAGUCUGGUGCCAGCAGCUGCGGUAAUACCAGCUCCAAUAGCGUAUAUUAAAGUUGUUGCAGUUAAAAAGCUCGUAGUUGGACUUGUGUGCGCUGUCCGCGGGUGGCCUGCGCCCAAAAGGGCGUUUCGGUUCGGCCCCGGUGGCGCCUUGAAAUCUGCAGCUGGGGGGACGUUGGCCUUAACUGGUCGGCGACCGCACGCCGGCUGCUCGGUUACCGUGAGAAAAUUAGAGUGUUCAAGGCAGGCAUUGGGUGCAAUUGAAUACAUUAGCAUGGAAUAAUAAAAUAUGGCUCCUGCCGUAUUUUGUUGGUUUUGACUGGUGGGAGUAAUGAUUGAUAGGGACGGUUGGGGGUGCUAGUAUUGAGCGGCCAGAGGUGAAAUUCAUGGAUUCGCUCAAGACUAACUUAUGCGAAAGCAUUCACCAAGGACGUCCUCUUUAAUCAAGAACGAAAGUUGGGGGAUCGAAGACGAUCAGAUACCGUCGUAGUCUCAACCAUAAACUAUGUCGACUUGGGAUCGGCGGUAGUUUUUUCAUUAAGACACUGUCGGGACCACGGGAGAAAUCAAAGUGUCUGGACUCUGGGGGAAGUAUGGUCGCAAGGCUGAAACUUGAAGGAAUUGACGGAAGGGCACCACCGGGAGUGGAGCCUGCGGCUUAAUUUGACCCAACACGGGGAAACUUACCAGGUCCAGAGAUGUAGAGGAUUGACAGAUUGAAGCUCUUUCUUGAUCACUUCGGUGGUGGUGCAUGGUCGUUCUUAGUUGGUGGAGUGAUUUGUCUGUUUAAUUCCGUUAACGAACGAGACCUCAGCCUGCUAGUGUAGUCGGCUGGACUGCCUUUGGCGAUCCGUGAUUUCGACUUCUUAGAGGGACAAUCGACGCGCAGUCGAUGGAAGUUUGAGGCAAUAACAGGUCUGUGAUGCCCUUAGAUGUUCUGGGCCGCACGCGCGCUACACUGCUGGGCUCAGCGAGUUUUACUUGGCCGAGAGGCCCGGUUAAUCUUGUGAAAUCCCAGCGUGCUUGGGCUCGCCUCCUGCAACUGGAGGCGCCAACGAGGAAUUCCUAGUAGACGCAGGUCAUCAACCUGCAUCGAUUACGUCCCUGCCCUUUGUACACACCGCCCGUCGUUCCAUAAGAGUGAGGCAUCCGGUGAAUUCUCGGGAGAGCCUGGGCGUGGCCAGCAAUGGUCUGCUCGGGUUUGAACUUGCAUAAACUUGGUGCCUAUGAUUAGGGAAAAGUCGUAACAAGGUU